CACAGACCUAAUGCACCGAAACGCAGCACAAAUAUUUCUCCAUUGUCGGAAUAGCCUCUGCACUGGAACUUUUUGAGAAGAGAGCCAUUAGAUUGUUGUC
Scomber japonicus (chub mackerel) is the source of this 100-nucleotide long non-coding RNA. RefSeq lists it as uncharacterized. NCBI's taxonomy places the organism in Eukaryota, Metazoa, Chordata, Actinopteri, Scombriformes, Scombridae. The record is from RefSeq and is a predicted model, not a curated record. The transcript is spliced from 3 exons.